UGAGGAAUAUUGGACAAUGGGUGAGAGCCUGAUCCAGCCAUCCCGCGUGAAGGACGACGGCCCUAUGGGUUGUAAACUUCUUUUGUAUAGGGAUAAACCUACCCUCGUGAGGGUAGCUGAAGGUACUAUACGAAUAAGCACCGACUAACUCCGUGCCAGCAGCCGCGGUAAUACGGAGGGUGCAAGCGUUAUCCGGAUUUAUUGGGUUUAAAGGGUCCGUAGGCGGAUCUGUAAGUCAGUGGUGAAAUCUCACAGCUUAACUGUGAAACUGCCAUUGAUACUGCAGGUCUUGAGUGUUGUUGAAGUAGCUGGAAUAAGUAGUGUAGCGGUGAAAUGCAUAGAUAUUACUUAGAACACCAAUUGCGAAGGCAGGUUACUAAGCAACAACUGACGCUGAUGGACGAAAGCGUGGGGAGCGAACAGG
RNAcentral lists this ribosomal RNA (424 nucleotides) under uncultured prokaryote. RNAcentral's name for it is "bacterial SSU rRNA". It matches the Rfam family "Bacterial small subunit ribosomal RNA", at positions 355 to 776 of the family's 1533-position model. The record is from RNAcentral. RNAcentral also lists the same sequence under 1 other name.